RNAcentral lists this ribosomal RNA (774 nucleotides) under uncultured Neocallimastigales. RNAcentral's name for it is "partial large subunit ribosomal RNA". It matches the Rfam family "Eukaryotic large subunit ribosomal RNA", at positions 24 to 616 of the family's 3401-position model. Lineage: Eukaryota; Fungi; Neocallimastigomycota; Neocallimastigomycetes; Neocallimastigales. The record is from RNAcentral.
UACGACUACAUAUCAGGCAUAUCAAUAAGCGGAGGAAAAGAAACUAACUAGGAUUCCCUUAGUAACGGCGAGUGAAACGGGAAGAGCUCAAAUUUGAAAUCUUCAAGGUUUACCUUGACGAAUUGUAGUUUAAAGAAGUGUUUUCUGUUGGAGUUUUGGUAAAAGUUCUUUGGAAUAGGACAUCAUAGGAGGGUGAGAAUCCCGUAUUUGACCAUUAUUUUCAGCUGUGUGAUACACUUUCAAAGAGUCGGAUUGUUUGGGAAUGCAGUCCAAAAUGGGUGGUAAAUUUCAUCUAAAGCUAAAUAUUGGCGAGAGACCGAUAGCGAACAAGUACCGUGAGGGAAAGAUGAAAAGAACUUUGAAAAGAGAGUUAAACAGUACGUGAAAUUGUCAAAAGGGAAGCGUUUGACACCAGUGUUGUUUUCUCGAAAAUCAAUUAAAAAUGGCUUGAUUUUGUGUUGUAUUGACUUUAUCAGCUUUCUGCACUCUUUUCUUGUCUUUUUUAAUGCACUUUUCGUUUAACGAGUCAACAUCAAUUUCUUUUGUUGUAAAAGGGUCAUUGGAAGGUGGCUUUCUUUUCGGAGAAAGUGUUUAUAGCCUUUGGCCUCUGCAAUCGGAGAGAUUGAGGUCUGCAGCGUAGAUCCUUCGGGGUUAGAUACAUUUGUGCUAAGUUAUAGCCUUUCAUAGACAACUUGUUGACUAUGAUCAGUCAUGUAGCUUACUCGCUUAUGCUAUUUUACCUACGCUUAGGAUGUUGAGCGCAUGUCUCUCUCU